RNAcentral lists this ribosomal RNA (492 nucleotides) under uncultured bacterium. RNAcentral's name for it is "partial 16S ribosomal RNA". It matches the Rfam family "Bacterial small subunit ribosomal RNA", at positions 29 to 507 of the family's 1533-position model. The record is from RNAcentral.
AGUGAACGCUGGCGGUAGGCCUAACACAUGCAAGUCGAACGGCAGCACAGUAAGCGCUUGCUCUUACGGGUGGCGAGUGGCGGACGGGUGAGGAAUACAUCGGAAUCUACUUUUUCGUGGGGGAUAACGUAGGGAAACUUACGCUAAUACCGCAUACGACCUACGGGUGAAAGCAGGGGAUCUUCGGACCUUGCGCGUUUGAAUGAGCCGAUGUCGGAUUAGCUAGUUGGCGGGGUAAGGGCCCACCAAGGCGACGAUCCGUAGCUGGUCUGAGAGGAUGAUCAGCCACACUGGAACUGAGACACGGUCCAGACUCCUACGGGAGGCAGCAGUGGGGAAUAUUGGACAAUGGGCGCAAGCCUGAUCCAGCCAUACCGCGUGGGUGAAGAAGGCCUUCGGGUUGUAAAGCCCUUUUGUUGGGAAAGAAAAGCAGCAGGUUAAUACCCCGCUGUUCUGACGGUACCCAAAGAAUAAGCACCGGCUAACUUCGUG